This 2722-nucleotide ribosomal RNA is filed under the name groundwater metagenome. RNAcentral describes it as "bacterial LSU rRNA". It matches the Rfam family "Archaeal large subunit ribosomal RNA". The record is from RNAcentral.
UAGCCAGCCAGUGGAUGACUAGGUUCAGAUAGCGAAGAAGGGCGUGGGAAGCUGCGAAAAGCCCGGGGUAGGCGCAUCCAGCCUUUGAACCCGUGGAUUCCCGAAUUGCUUCGGAAGAAGCGAAGACCCGCUGAAUUGAAAUAUCUUAGUAAGCGGAGGAAAAUAAAUCAACCGAGAUUCCGUUAGUAGCGCGAGCGAAAAGGGAAUAGGGCAAACCGAACGGCCUGUGGCAACAUGGGUACGGAUGUGGUGUUCGGACCGGCGUUUAACUCCAGUGCUCUUAGCCGAAGACUCCUGAAAAGGGGCGCGACAAAGCGUGACAGCCGCGUAGGCAGUGGGGCAUUGGGUGAGCCGAGUUCCAGAGUAGCAUCGCUUGAGAAGGUGGUGUGAACGCGCGAGUCAUUGACUUGCAACCCUAAAUAUAAUCUGAAACCGAUAGCGUAUUGAGUAGCGUGAGCGAAAGUUGAAAAGCAAGCCGAAAGGCUAGUUAAAAGCGCCUGAAACUGGUUGGCCACAAGAAGACUGGGCGAUAGAGGGCCGCAAGGCAACGGCGUCCAGUCAUCCUUCUUGAAGCAAGAGCCAGGGAGUUGUAGGGAGUGGCGAGCAUUGUGCACAGCGAAAGCGAAGUCCCGCAAGGCCGCAAGGUCCCAGGGGAGACGUGGUAACUCGCGUUUAGUCACUUUUUACAGACCCGAAGCCGGAACGAACUACGCUCGAACAGGGUGAAACCGUCCUUCCGGAUGGUGGAAGCCCGCAUCCAGUGAUAGUAUAUCUUCUUGGGUGAUUUGAGUGUAGGGGUGAAAGUCCAUACGAGCCCGGCGAUAGCGGGUUCCCUCCGAAGUGUACCGCAGUACAGCCCCGAUCGAGGCGGACCAUGGGUAGAGCGACGGAUUCGAAAGAACGGGGAGUAAAAUCCUCACUUUCUUGUCCAACUCCGAAGCCAUGGUUGCUGUAGACAUUGGGAGUUGGCCAGUCCGAGUUAAGCGCGGACGGCGAGAGGGGAACGACCCCUACUGCAGUUAAGGUCCCUAAGCAGGUGCUGAGUGUUACUCAUCAAGACGUCAUGUCCCAUAGACAGCGGGGCGGUAGGAACAGAAGCUGCCAUCCGUUAAACAACGCGUAACAGCGGACCCGUCAAGGUUCGUGGCGUCGUAAACUUCCGGGACUAAGUAUCUCACCGAUACUGCAGCACACGCGGCAGAGCCGCGUGAUUGAGUAGGAGGGCGUACUGCUUGCCCCGAAGCAAGGCCGUGAGGUCUUGUGGAGCGGGUAGUAAUGAAGAUCCUGGUGCUAGUAGCAUCUAUUCCGGGCGAGAAUCCCGGACGCCGAAAGAGCAAGGGUUUCUAGCCAACGCUAGUCGGGCUAGAGUAAGCCGGUCCUAAGGCCAAGCGUAAUCGCGUAGGCCGAAAUCAGGGAAAGGCGUUAAUAAUCGCUUGCCUCUUUACGGAGCGUGGCGACACAAGGUAACAUCUGACGCCAGUGGAUAGGCCCAGUGCCCGUUGAGGGCAUUUAAAGAAACCAGGGCUCGGAAGUCUCGUUAAGAGGAGCACGAGCUUAAGUUCUGAAAACCGCAAGGUGGGUUGAGUCCAAUGGCCCUUGAAAAGGGUGUUGCAAUCCUGUAGAGAGUCCGUACCAAGAACCAGUACAGGUGCUCAGGUAGAAAAUACUAAGGCGUGGCAGGUGAACUAAGGCAAGGGAAUUCGGCAUAUUGGCCCCGUAACUUUGGGAUAAGGGGUGCCUACGCUUCUCCACUAGACGCAAGUUGAAGUGGGGACUCGUAGGUCGCAGUGACCCGCGAUGGGCAUUCAAACAAGAACCUUUUUGCGCGUUGAGGAAAAGAGAACAACCUCUGACGCCGGUACCUACCGGCAAUUUUGUGAUGUGGUUGAUAGCGUCCGAGCGCAAAAAUCAUUUUGCUCAUCGUUGGCUGCAAAACUGGGGACAUCGACUGUUUAGCAAAAACACAGAUCGCCGCAAGACGGAAACGUUGUGUACGGCGGUCGACGCCUGCUCACUGGCAGUACCUCAAACUCCUUUUCAAGGGAGCAAAGGGCUGCUAAAGAGCGGGUCUAACUGGUCUUCGCAUAUCGCGGAGGCUCAGGGCCAAACUCUGAGACUCUUAAGGUAGCGUAAUACCUCGCCGCUUAAUUGGCGGCUUGCAUGAAUGGCGUAACGAGUGUCCCGCUGUCCCUGUCUUAGACCUGGCGAACCUACUACUCGGUGAACAUGCCGAGGACUUCUAGGGGGAAACGAAGACCCCGUGGAGCUUAACCACAGUCUGUUGUUGUAAUUCGGUUGAUAAUUCGUAGCGUAAGCAGGAGCUGCUACGUCCGUCCUCGCGGGGACGGAAUAGGCGACAAUGUAACACUGCUAUUUGUUGACUGAGUUGCUCAUUGCGUCCAAAAGACGUAAGACAGCUACAGAUGGGUGGUUUGGCUGGGGCGGCACGCCUUCGAUAAAAAAACAAAGGCGCCCAAUGCUCAACUCAGGCGCGUCAGAAACCGCGUCACUCCACACUAUUUAAAUCCAAUUGCACUGAAUAAGUGCGAUUUGGGUUAUGGCAAGCUUCUUCGAAGACAUUUCAAUGCGCGUCCGCGCGUUCUUUCGUCCGCUGACUCUCGUGACUUUCAUUCUCGAGAAGUACCAGCGGAUUUUGAAGCAAAAGAACGUUUCGGCGGAAAUUCGCGGCAACGCUCUGGUCGUUCCGACCGAGCAGCUGCGG